This 529-nucleotide long non-coding RNA is filed under the name Sorghum bicolor (sorghum). RNAcentral describes it as "long non-coding RNA (SBIC_LNC011153)". The record is from RNAcentral. Lineage: Eukaryota; Viridiplantae; Streptophyta; Magnoliopsida; Poales; Poaceae.
AACAAGAGGGCACAAAAAUGCUUAUCGCGUAAUUAAAUCAAAUUUACAUAAAAAAUAACAUCCUAAACAAUAUAAUUUAAAAAACUAAAAAGAAAACUUACCUUUCUUAGCCACCUCCUUCCGAGAAAUGAAGAUCAAAACCUCCACCCUUGUAUUUUGACCUGUUGAAAAGUUAGUAAAUUAAUUGAAAUAUUGUCUACGAAUAUUUGUUAUCAAAAAUAAAAGAACACCUAACAAUUAAAUCAAAUUGGAAAAGUAAAACAAGUAUCAAAAAUAAAGACAAAACCCUAAAUAUGUAUCUUUAUAUCACUAAAAUAAAUUUGACAAGGUACAAAAAAAAUAUAUCUUUAUAUUACUAAAAAAUAUUUGAGAAGGAAACAUGGAAAUGGUGAGAGGAGAUGCAACAUCUUAAGCAACCUCAUACAUGAAAAAUGCUUAUCGCAUAAUUAAAUCAAAUUUACAUAAAAAUAACAUCCUAAACAAUAUAAUUUAAAAAACUAAAAAGAAAACCUAUCUUUCUCUCUUCCCA